UUCUUUUCUUUCACUACUUCCGCACAAGUAAAACCAUAGCAAUAUAAAGCACAAAUAAGAAAUCUAUAAGCAUUAACAAUCAAUCUCACCAUUACAACUCCAGGGAUAUCGAAAUAACAUCACAUUUGAUUUUCAAGUUAGAUUUGAGCCAACCAAUUAUCUUAUUCUUUUCUAUCACUACUUCUGCACAAGUAAAGCUAUAGCAAUAUAAAGCAUAAAUAAGAAAUCUAUAAGUAUUAACAAUCAAUCUCACCAUUCCAACUCCAGGGAUAUCGAAAUAUCAUCACUUUUGAUUUUCAAGUUAUAUUUGAGCUAACCAAUUAUCUUAUUCUUUUCUAUCACCACUUCCGUACAAGUAAACCAUAGCAAUAUAAAGCACAAAUAAGAAAUCUAUAAGGAUUAACAAUCAAUCUCACCAUUCCAUCUCCAGAGAUAUCGAAAUAACAUCACAUUUGAUUUUCAAGUUUGAUUUGAGCCAACCAAUUAUCUUAUUUUUUUCUAUCACUACUUCCGCACAAGUAAAACCAUAGCAAUAAACCAUAGCAAUAUAAAGCAAAAAUAAGAAAUCUAUAAGGAUUAACAAUCAAUCUCACCAUUCCAACUCCAGGGAUAUCGAAAUAACAUCAAAUUUGAUUUUCAGGUUAGAUUUUGAGCGAACCAAUUAUCUUAUUCUUUUCUAUCACUACUUCCGCACAAGUAAAAUCUUAGCAAUAUAAAGCAAAAAUAAGAAAUCUAUAAGUAUUAACAAUCAAUCUCACCAUUCCAACUCCAGGGAUAUCGAAAUAAUAUCAUAUUUGAUUUUCAGAUUAGAUUUGAGCCAACCAAUUAUCUUAUUCUUUUCUAUCACUGCUUCCGCACAAGUAAAACCAUAGCAAUAUAAAGCAA
RNAcentral lists this long non-coding RNA (885 nucleotides) under Ananas comosus (pineapple). RNAcentral describes it as "long non-coding RNA (ACOM_LNC020791)". The record is from RNAcentral. Lineage: Eukaryota; Viridiplantae; Streptophyta; Magnoliopsida; Poales; Bromeliaceae.